RNAcentral lists this ribosomal RNA (1531 nucleotides) under Bacteroidetes bacterium GWE2_42_24. RNAcentral describes it as "bacterial SSU rRNA". It matches the Rfam family "Bacterial small subunit ribosomal RNA". The record is from RNAcentral. Lineage: Bacteria; Pseudomonadati; Bacteroidota.
UACAAUGGAGAGUUUGAUCCUGGCUCAGGAUGAACGCUGGCGGCAGGCCUAAUACAUGCAAGUCGAACGGGAUCCGGUGUAGCAAUACACUGGUGAGAGUGGCGCACGGGUGCGUAACACGUAUGCAACCUACCUUUAACAGGUACAUAACAGCGCGAAAGCGGUGCUAAUAUACCAUGUGGUUAUUGAAUGGCAUCAUUUAAUAAUUAAAGAUUUAUCGGUUAAAGAUGGGCAUGCGUCCCAUUAGCUAGUUGGUGAGGUAAAGGCUCACCAAGGCAAUGAUGGGUAGGGGUUCUGAGAGGAUAUACCCCCACACUGGUACUGAGACACGGACCAGACUCCUACGGGAGGCAGCAGUAAGGAAUAUUGGUCAAUGGGCGAGAGCCUGAACCAGCCAUGCCGCGUGCAGGAAGACGGCCCUAUGGGUUGUAAACUGCUUUUGUCAGGGGAUAAACCUACCGACGAGUCGGUAGCUGAAGGUACCUGAAGAAUAAGGAUCGGCUAACUCCGUGCCAGCAGCCGCGGUAAUACGGAGGAUCCGAGCGUUAUCCGGAUUUAUUGGGUUUAAAGGGUGCGCAGGCGGAUUGGUAAGUCAGGGGUGAAAUUCUACGGCUCAACUGUAGGCGUGCCUUUGAUACUGUCAAACUAGAGUUAAGUUGGAGUGGGCGGAAUGUGUUGUGUAGCGGUGAAAUGCUUAGAUAUAACACAGAACACCGAUCGCGAAGGCAGCUCACUAAACUUAGACUGACGCUCAUGCACGAAAGCGUGGGGAUCAAACAGGAUUAGAUACCCUGGUAGUCCACGCUGUAAACGAUGAUCACUCGCUGUUGGCGAUAUACAGUCAGUGGCUAAGCGAAAGUGAUAAGUGAUCCACCUGGGGAGUACGACCGCAAGGUUGAAACUCAAAGGAAUUGACGGGGGCCCGCACAAGCGGAGGAGCAUGUGGUUUAAUUCGAUGAUACGCGAGGAACCUUACCAGGGCUCGAACGUUCAGCGCUUUACCGGGAAACCGGUAAUCCCUUCGGGGCGGUGAACGAGGUGCUGCAUGGUUGUCGUCAGCUCGUGCCGUGAGGUGUCAGGUUAAGUCCUAUAACGAGCGCAACCCCUAUCCUUAGUUGCCAUCAGGUAAAGCUGGGCACUCUAGGGAGACUGCCUACGCAAGUAGAGAGGAAGGUGGGGAUGACGUCAAAUCAGCACGGCCCUUAUGUCCUGGGCUACACACGUGCUACAAUGGUCGGUACAGAGGGCCGCUACCGGGUGACCGGAUGCCAAUCUCGAAAGCCGAUCUCAGUUCGGAUCGGAGUCUGCAACCCGACUCCGUGAAGUUGGAUUCGCUAGUAAUCGCGCAUCAGCCAUGGCGCGGUGAAUACGUUCCCGGGCCUUGUACACACCGCCCGUCAAGCCAUGGAAGCUUGGGGUACCUAAAGUCCGUAACCGUAAGGAGCGGCCUAGGGUAAAACAGGUGACUGGGGCUAAGUCGUAACAAGGUAGCCGUACCGGAAGGUGUGGCUGGAAUACCUCCUUUCUGGAG